RNAcentral lists this long non-coding RNA (257 nucleotides) under Elaeis guineensis (African oil palm). Its description in RNAcentral is "long non-coding RNA (EGUI_LNC049812)". Lineage: Eukaryota; Viridiplantae; Streptophyta; Magnoliopsida; Arecales; Arecaceae. The record is from RNAcentral.
AUUUUUUUACAUGAUUCGGGAUCAAAUCUUUUCAAAAUUCAAAGAGCUUCGAGAAAUUUGAUAAAAGAGGAAAUGGAGAGAUAUUAGGAAGGAAAGAAUGGGAAUUUAAGAGGAAAAAUCCAUGGGAAUGACUAGAGAAUGGAUGAUUUUUUGGAUGGUAAAACUGAAAAAGAAUAGGCAAAGGCGGAGGCUGGGCAUAAGGAAAAUUGGUGCACUAGAUAUAGCAGGUAGCUGGAUGCUUCAAGGACAUUUGAGGC